GAAUUGAAGGACACAGGAACCCCAUGGAAAACGACCCAGCAUGUGGAAGCUGCUGUCUGAUGCCUCCUGGAAGAGGAGGGUCACCCUGAGGGUGUGGCCCUUGGCCCUCCCCUCACUUCAUUCAGCCGUGCCAAAGUCCUACUGCCUUCUGUAGGGACAAGAAAGAGUGAAGUCCCCUAGGAAGGGUAAGGAGGAUGGCUCUCCUAACGCCUUGUUUGAGGAAGGUUCUCCAUUUAGCCAGAGUGUCUCUGCUUGUACAGAGACAUCAAAGCCGAGGCUUGGUACUUUGGCAGGCAAAGACUAAGGAACUUCAGUGGUUUUUCCUCCAGUGUUGGUUACCCAGGACAGCAAUACUACUUUAAUAGUUCAGGCAGCUCUGGAUAUCAGGAUUAUUAUCCGCAUGGCAGGCCGGAUCACUAUGAAGAAGCACCCAGGAACUAUGACACGUACACAGCAGGACUGAGUGAAGAAGAACAGCUCGAGAGAGCAUUACAAGCCAGCCUCUGGGACCGAGGACAUACCAGAAACAGCCCACCACCCUACGGGUUUCAUCUCUCACCAGAAGAAGAAAUGAGGAGACAGCGGCUUCACAGAUUCGAUAGCCAGUGAGGUGGCGUCUUGGGAAGACAUGGCCUAUUCGUGUAAUUAUUGCCCAUUUGGCUCAUUCCCCAAGCCCCUAAUUCAUUUUAAUUCAUUUUAAACAAAAGCAGAGUACACCGGUAUUGCUCCAGAUCGCUCACAUCGCCUGGGACGGUCCCAUGGCCCCUAUGAGUCAACUCGCAGCUUGCAGGGAGUGGGCCUUCUCCUGGCCUUGUUCUUGCUCAUAAACAGGUCACUUCCUCCAGGAAGGGACCAGUUUCCACUCUCCUUUCUCUCACUGCUGACUCAGCGACGCCUCUGCCUCGGUCUGCUUUUGAAGACUGUGACCUUCACCAGGAGGUUUUACUUACACCAGUCGGGAAGAUUAGUCCCUCAUUCUGCCUGGAGU
RNAcentral lists this small RNA (988 nucleotides) under Pongo abelii (Sumatran orangutan). RNAcentral's name for it is "processed transcript". Lineage: Eukaryota; Metazoa; Chordata; Mammalia; Primates; Hominidae. The record is from RNAcentral.